This 706-nucleotide ribosomal RNA is filed under the name Bacillus sp. (in: firmicutes). RNAcentral's name for it is "bacterial SSU rRNA". It matches the Rfam family "Bacterial small subunit ribosomal RNA", at positions 61 to 749 of the family's 1533-position model. Lineage: Bacteria; Bacillati; Bacillota; Bacilli; Caryophanales; Bacillaceae. The record is from RNAcentral.
GUCGAGCGGACAGAUGGGAGCUUGCUCCCUGAUGUUAGCGGCGGACGGGUGAGUAACACGUGGGUAACCUGCCUGUAAGACUGGGAUAACUCCGGGAAACCGGGGCUAAUACCGGAUGGUUGUUUGAACCGCAUGGUUCAAACAUAAAAGGUGGCUUCGGCUACCACUUACAGAUGGACCCGCGGCGCAUUAGCUAGUUGGUGAGGUAACGGCUCACCAAGGCAACGAUGCGUAGCCGACCUGAGAGGGUGAUCGGCCACACUGGGACUGAGACACGGCCCAGACUCCUACGGGAGGCAGCAGUAGGGAAUCUUCCGCAAUGGACGAAAGUCUGACGGAGCAACGCCGCGUGAGUGAUGAAGGUUUUCGGAUCGUAAAGCUCUGUUGUUAGGGAAGAACAAGUACCGUUCGAAUAGGGCGGUACCUUGACGGUACCUAACCAGAAAGCCACGGCUAACUACGUGCCAGCAGCCGCGGUAAUACGUAGGUGGCAAGCGUUGUCCGGAAUUAUUGGGCGUAAAGGGCUCGCAGGCGGUUUCUUAAGUCUGAUGUGAAAGCCCCCGGCUCAACCGGGGAGGGUCAUUGGAAACUGGGGAACUUGAGUGCAGAAGAGGAGAGUGGAAUUCCACGUGUAGCGGUGAAAUGCGUAGAGAUGUGGAGGAACACCAGUGGCGAAGGCGACUCUCUGGUCUGUAACUGACGCUGA